UUCGCAAUGCCCGAAAGGGUGACGAAGCGACGCCGCGUGGGUGAGGAAGGCCUUCGGGUUGUAAAGCCCUGUCAGGAGUUAAGAAAUGUAAGUGCGCUAAUAUCGCAUUUAUUUGACGAAGGCUCCAAAGGAAGUCACGGCUAACUCUGUGCCAGCAGCCGCGGUAAUACAGAGGUGGCAAGCGUUGUUCGGAAUUAUUGGGCGUAAAGAGCACGUAGGUGGGUUUGCAAGUCAGAUGUGAAAGCCUUCUGUUCAACGGAAGAAUUGCAUCUGAAACUGCGAGUCUUGAGUGUAGGAGGGGAGAAUGGAACUUCUGGUGGAGCGGUGAAAUGCGUAGAUAUCAGAAGGAACGCCGGCGGCGAAAGCGAUUCUCUGGCCUAUUACUGACACUCAGUGUGCGAAAGCUAGGGGAGCAAACGGGAUUAGAUACCCCGGUAGUCCUAGCCGUAAACGAUGGGCACUAAGUAGAGGGGUUUU
RNAcentral lists this ribosomal RNA (477 nucleotides) under Candidatus Scalindua brodae. RNAcentral's name for it is "bacterial SSU rRNA". It matches the Rfam family "Bacterial small subunit ribosomal RNA", at positions 365 to 832 of the family's 1533-position model. RNAcentral also lists the same sequence under 2 other names. The record is from RNAcentral. Lineage: Bacteria; Pseudomonadati; Planctomycetota; Candidatus Brocadiia; Candidatus Brocadiales; Candidatus Scalinduaceae.